RNAcentral lists this ribosomal RNA (253 nucleotides) under uncultured bacterium. RNAcentral describes it as "partial 16S ribosomal RNA". It matches the Rfam family "Bacterial small subunit ribosomal RNA", at positions 524 to 776 of the family's 1533-position model. The record is from RNAcentral.
UACGGGGGGGGCAAGCGUUGUUCGGAAUUACUGGGCGUAAAGGGCUCGUAGGUGGCCAACUAAGUCAUACGUGAAAUCCCCAGGCUUAACCUGGGAACUGCGUCUGAUACUGGAUGGCUUGAAUUCGGGAGAGGGAUGCAGAAUUCCAGGUGUAGCGGUGAAAUGCGUAGAUAUCUGGAGGAAUACCGGUGGCGAAGGCGGCAUCCUGGACCGAGAUUGACGCUGAUGAGCGAAAGCUAGGGGAGCAAACGGG